GAUGAUGACAAAACUUGGAGUAUGUGCAAUAUAAAAUAUAUUGUGUUCUAGGACUAAUGCAUAGCUAAGUUGCAUGAAGUAGAAAACAUAAAUAUUUAAAACAUACUUCAUGAUAAUGCUUUAGAUUUAAUCAGCUUAACACAAUCAACCUAUUUCAGUUUAAGCUGAGUUGGUAUUCAAUAUAAAAUACAAAGCAUUAUGAGCAUAUACUUAGAUAUUUCUCCCCCUUUUUGACAACAUCAAAAAGAUAGUGGAAUAUUAAGCACAAAGAUAAGAAUACUCAAAUAUUUCUUUUUCUUAUUGUACUCUGAUUUGCAUGUCAAGUUAUUGCAAGAAUAUGAAUCAUAUAACUCAAGGCAAUAAUGUUAGAAAAAGAUUAAUGAGCAUAGAUCAGAGC
RNAcentral lists this long non-coding RNA (397 nucleotides) under Phoenix dactylifera (date palm). Its description in RNAcentral is "long non-coding RNA (PDAC_LNC020142)". The record is from RNAcentral. Lineage: Eukaryota; Viridiplantae; Streptophyta; Magnoliopsida; Arecales; Arecaceae.